Molecule: ribosomal RNA, 392 nt
Filed under: Candidatus Uhrbacteria bacterium
Lineage: Bacteria; Candidatus Uhriibacteriota
Description: bacterial SSU rRNA
Rfam family: Bacterial small subunit ribosomal RNA
Source: RNAcentral
CGUGAGGUGUACCCUUAAGUGGGGUAACGAGCGCAACCCCUGUCGUGUGUUAUACUUUCACACGAGACUGCCUUCGUAAGAAGGAGGAAGGAGGGGAUGACGUCAAAUCAGCAUGGCCCUUACGUCCAGGGCAACACACAUGAUACAAUGGCCGGUACAGCGAGAUGCCAAGUCGCGAGACGGAGCAAACCUCUAAAAACCGGUCCCAGUUCGAAUUGGAGUCUGCAACUCGACUCCAUGAAGCCGGAAUNNUGUACUCACCGCCCGUCACGUCAAGAGAGUUGGUGGUGCCCGAAGGUCGUUGUAGGACGGCCGAAGGCAAAAUCAGCAAUAGGGACGAAGUCGUAACAAGGCAUCCGUAGCGGAAGCUGUGGAUGGAUCACCUCCUUUCU